This 897-nucleotide ribosomal RNA is filed under the name uncultured bacterium. RNAcentral describes it as "bacterial SSU rRNA". It matches the Rfam family "Bacterial small subunit ribosomal RNA", at positions 8 to 916 of the family's 1533-position model. The record is from RNAcentral.
AGAGUUUGAUCCUGGCUCAGGAUGAACGCUGGCGGCGUGCCUAAUACAUGCAAGUCGAACGGGGAGUACUUACUUCGGUUUUUACUCCUAGUGGCGAACGGGUGAGUAACGCGUUGGUGACCUGCCCCGAAGAGGGGAACAACAGUUCGAAAGGACUGCUAAUACCCCAUGUGGUCGUACUGGUUAGAGGCUGUACGACUAAAGGAGUAAUCCACUUCGGGAGGGGCCUGCGUCCCAUCAGCUAGUUGGUAAGGUAACGGCCUACCAAGGCGAAGACGGGUAGGGGGCCUGAGAGGGUGGCCCCCCACACUGGCACUGAAACACGGGCCAGACACCUACGGGUGGCAGCAGUAGGGAAUAUUGCACAAUGGGCGAAAGCCUGAUGCAGCAACGCCGCGUGCGCGAAGAAGGCCUUCGGGUUGUAAAGCGCUUUUCUGGAGGAAGAGAAAGGACGGUACUCCAGGAAUAAGGAUCGGCUAACUACGUGCCAGCAGCCGCGGUAACACGUAGGAUCCGAGCGUUAUCCGAAUUUACUGGGCGUAAAGCGCGUGUAGGCGGCCGGGUAAGUUGGACGUGAAAGCUCCUGGCUCAACUAGGAGAGGUCGUUCAAAACUGCCUGGCUAGAGGGCGACAGAGGGAGGUGGAAUUCCCGGUGUAGUGGUGAAAUGCGUAGAUAUCGGGAGGAACACCAGUGGCGAAGGCGGCCUCCUGGGUCGCCCCUGACGCUCAGACGCGAAAGCUAGGGGAGCAAACGGGAUUAGAUACCCCGGUAGUCCUAGCUGUAAACGAUGUGGACUUGGCGUUGGUGGGGUCAAAUCCAUCAGUGCCGAAGCUAACGCGAUAAGUCCACCGCCUGGGGACUACGGCCGCAAGGUUAAAACUCAAAGGAAUUGACGG